This 701-nucleotide long non-coding RNA is filed under the name Mytilus galloprovincialis (Mediterranean mussel). The record is from RNAcentral. Lineage: Eukaryota; Metazoa; Mollusca; Bivalvia; Mytilida; Mytilidae.
UGGUUCUACUGUAUAUAGUGCAUCAAUUCCGAGGUAAGUGUUUUAUUCUUACAUAUAUUAUUACUUUUCUGUGUCUCACUUUUGUUUAUCAAAUUUCCGAAACUUUCAGACUUCUGCAGACAAUUUUCCAUUGUGUAAAUUGUUCAAUUUAUAAUGCUUUGUAAACGGAUUUAAAGAUAUGAAAACCAUGUUUUAUAUUCAGAUAUUUGCGGUUUUACUAGUGAACAAGAACAAGAUAGUUAAUUACGGGUACAAAUUGAAUUACGUAAUAUUUAUGUGUACAAGGUUCCGAAUUUCCUUAUGUAGGUGAAACUAUCAUGCAAAUUAUGAUAUUUAUUACAGUAAUGACACUUUUGCUGCAUAUAAAAUGUAGUGCGUAUUUAUCUAGUAAAUUAACAGAAUAUAUAUGUUCAUUUUAUGAACGUGAGAUUAUAGAGUCAUGUUUAUGUUGCAUGAACGUGCAAGUAAAAUGCAUAUCUAAAUUGAUAAUCGUACUAAAGAGUUUGUACAAUAUAUUAUUGCUAGGUUCCAGCCUGCACCAGAGUAAUACAAUGCUGCGGUGUUAAGGAGUGGUCAUAUGGAUUGAACGCAAUCAUACAUAAUUCAUCAAACAACAUAUCUACAUAUUAUAGUGGAACUGUCGUGCACGAUACCAUAACCGUCAUAACGAUACCAUAACCGUCAUAACGAUACAAAGGAAG